GAUGAACGCUGGCGGCGUGCCUAAUACAUACAAGUCGAGCGAACAGACGAGGAGCUUGCUCCUCUGACGUUAGCGGCGGACGGGUGAGUAACACGUGGAUAACCUACCUAUAAGACUGGGAUAACUUCGGGAAACCGGAGCUAAUACCGGAUAAUAUAUUGAACCGCAUGGUUCAAUAGUGAAAGACGGUUUUGCUGUCACUUAUAGAUGGAUCCGCGCCGCAUUAGCUAGUUGGUAAGGUAACGGCUUACCAAGGCGACGAUGCGUAGCCGACCUGAGAGGGUGAUCGGCCACACUGGAACUGAGACACGGUCCAGACUCCUACGGGAGGCAGCAGUAGGGAAUCUUCCGCAAAGGGCGAAAGCCUGACGGAGCAACGCCGCGUGAGUGAUGAAGGUCUUCGGAUCGUAAAACUCUGUUAUUAGGGAAGAACAAAUGUGUAAGUAACUAUGCACGUCUUGACGGUACCUAAUCAGAAAGCCACGGCUAACUACGUG
RNAcentral lists this ribosomal RNA (497 nucleotides) under uncultured bacterium. Its description in RNAcentral is "partial 16S ribosomal RNA". It matches the Rfam family "Bacterial small subunit ribosomal RNA", at positions 28 to 507 of the family's 1533-position model. The record is from RNAcentral.